UCUGGCACGGUGAAAAACAUGAACCUCGGUUGAAAUGUUAAGAACGUCCUGAACUCCAUGCUGAGCUGGUUCCAUGUAAUGAUCCAUGGACUGCGGCACAUCAACGAGUUCCAAAGGUUGUGAGUUGCCAAAGGGUGUAAGUAACCAAGCGUUACGGACGACAAGAGGUACGAGGACCAAUAGGUACCAAGGACCGAAGGGGUGCAUGUUCCAAACGUUGGCUGUUGAGACAGGUCGUGUCCUUUCCUUAGGGAUCAGACCAUGUCUUGUCCGUCGAGACAAGUACACGGUUCGUCUAAGCCAGGGUAAGAGUCACAAGGUCCG
RNAcentral lists this long non-coding RNA (324 nucleotides) under Brassica napus (rape). RNAcentral describes it as "long non-coding RNA (BNAP_LNC000457)". Lineage: Eukaryota; Viridiplantae; Streptophyta; Magnoliopsida; Brassicales; Brassicaceae. The record is from RNAcentral.